UACAGAGGGUGCAAGCGUUGUUCGGAAUUAUUGGGCGUAAAGGGCGCGUAGGCGGUGCGGUAAGUCUGCGGUGAAAUCUCCCGGCUCAACUGGGAGGCUGCCGUGGAAACUGCCGUGCUUGAGUGUGGGAGAGGUGAGUGGAAUUCCCGGUGUAGCGGUGAAAUGCGUAGAUAUCAAGUGGAACACCAGUGGCGAAGGCGAGUCCCUGGACAACUCCUGACACUGAGGCACGAAAGCUAGGGGAGCAAACAGG
Molecule: ribosomal RNA, 253 nt
Filed under: uncultured bacterium
Lineage: Bacteria
Description: partial 16S ribosomal RNA
Rfam family: Bacterial small subunit ribosomal RNA
Source: RNAcentral